CAUGCCACUUCUCUUGCUAUUUGAUCUGCAUUCCUUGCUUUCUCUUCAAAGAUUCUACUGUUCCUCUCUUUCCAUAUGCCAUUCAUGUACUUUGCAUAGAUCAUUUUCAUUGUUCUAUCUGUGCACAACUUCCCUUUGACUUGUGUUAUUACCUAUGCCAUCAUUUGUGUCCAGGAUUUUAUUGGAGCAUCAUGCAUUUGCAGGCAUUUUAAAAGCCUCCACCAUACUGUCUUAGCAAAACUGUAAUCACCAAAUAGAUGCAUAUGUUGUUCAUCUGCUCUAUUAUAUAAGCUACAUCUUGUAUUUACUUAAAUUCCCCAGCUGGUUAACCUAUCUGUUUUUGCCAUAGAUCUAGCUUCAUCGUGAAAUAUUAAGGUUCUCCAUGCCUCCUUGCUGAG
RNAcentral lists this long non-coding RNA (398 nucleotides) under Nicotiana benthamiana. RNAcentral describes it as "long non-coding RNA (NBEN_LNC005671)". The record is from RNAcentral. Lineage: Eukaryota; Viridiplantae; Streptophyta; Magnoliopsida; Solanales; Solanaceae.